Molecule: long non-coding RNA, 211 nt
Filed under: Mytilus galloprovincialis (Mediterranean mussel)
Lineage: Eukaryota; Metazoa; Mollusca; Bivalvia; Mytilida; Mytilidae
Source: RNAcentral
AAAAAUGCAUUGUAGCAAAGGGGAAAAAUAAUUGUGGUAUAAGGCCAGAAACACGAAAAAAAAUGAAUUUAACAAAAAGGAAACACAUAACGGACUUUGGAAAAAAGGAAGAGGGCUUUUGAUACCUUAUAUGAAAUUCUCCAGUCAUAAUAUCUUUUACAAAAACUCAUCCUACAACAGUUUACAAGCUAUUUAUGCCCGCGAUUUCGCG